GCCGGGUGCAGUGUCAUGUGCCUGUAGUCCAAGUCACUGGGAGGCUGAGGUUGGUGGCUCAAGUGAGCUGGGAAGCUCUGGGCUGCAGCACGCUAUGUCGAACGGGUGUCCACGCUAAGUUCGUUAUCGAUAUGGUGUUCCUGGGGGAGCCCGGGACCACCAGGUUGUCUAAGGAGGGGUGAACCGGCCCAGGUAUAUAUUUUUUUAAAACCUAUUUUUAUCUGCUACACGAAUUGUCACUUCGAAAUGUUUAGCAGACCAUGAAAAGUCGACACUGUUUUGCAGCUUUCCAAAAACAAUUACCGUUAUACCUUCU
Oncorhynchus mykiss (rainbow trout) is the source of this 316-nucleotide unclassified non-coding RNA. It matches the Rfam family "Metazoan signal recognition particle RNA". From Rfam's summary of the family: The signal recognition particle (SRP) is a universally conserved ribonucleoprotein. It is involved in the co-translational targeting of proteins to membranes. The record is from Ensembl. NCBI's taxonomy places the organism in Eukaryota, Metazoa, Chordata, Actinopteri, Salmoniformes, Salmonidae.